This 398-nucleotide ribosomal RNA is filed under the name uncultured bacterium. Its description in RNAcentral is "partial 16S ribosomal RNA". It matches the Rfam family "Bacterial small subunit ribosomal RNA", at positions 523 to 918 of the family's 1533-position model. The record is from RNAcentral.
AUACGUAGGGUGCGAGCGUUGUCCGGAAUUACUGGGCGUAAAGAGCUCGUAGGUGGUUUGUCGCGUCGUCUGUGAAAUUCCGGGGCUUAACUCCGGGCGUGCAGGCGAUACGGGCAUAACUUGAGUACUGUAGGGGAGACUGGAAUUCCUGGUGUAGCGGUGAAAUGCGCAGAUAUCAGGAGGAACACCGGUGGCGAAGGCGGGUCUCUGGGCAGUAACUGACGCUGAGGAGCGAAAGCAUGGGUAGCGAACAGGAUUAGAUACCCUGGUAGUCCAUGCCGUAAACGGUGGGCGCUAGGUGUAGGGGUCUUCCACGACUUCUGUGCCGUAGCUAACGCAUUAAGCAAUCCGCCUGGGGAGUACGGCCGCAAGGCUAAAACUCAAAUGAAUUGACGGGG